UCCCUUGUGAAAGUUUUAAUUAUUUUUUUUUUUAUACUUUGAAGAUCCCCCCAAAAAAAAGGUUUGGGUUUCCUGGGCCGGCCCUCCCCCUUUUUCGGCCGCGGGUGUUCCGCCGGGGCAACAUUAGGUAUGUUUCACAGGGGUUUGGGAGUUGUAAACUCGGUAAUGAUCCGGGUUAGUAGUGAACCUGCGGAGGGAUCAUUACCGAGUUUACAACUCCCAAACCCCUGUGAACAUACCUUAUGUUGCCUCGGCGGAUCAGCCCGCGCCCCGUAAAAAGGGACGGCCCGCCGCAGGAACCCUAAACUCUGUUUUUAGUGGAACUUCUGAGUAUAAAAAACAAAUAAAUCAAAACUUUCAACAACGGAUCUCUUGGUUCUGGCAUCGAUGAAGAACGCAGCAAAAUGCGAUAAGUAAUGUGAAUUGCAGAAUUCAGUGAAUCAUCGAAUCUUUGAACGCACAUUGCGCCCGCCAGUAUUCUGGCGGGCAUGCCUGUUCGAGCGUCAUUUCAACCCUCAAGCCCAGCUUGGUGUUGGGAGCUGCAGUCCUGCUGCACUCCCCAAAUACAUUGGCGGUCACGUCGAGCUUCCAUAGCGUAGUAAUUUACACAUCGUUACUGGUAAUCGUCGCGGCCACGCCGUUAAACCCCAACUUCUGAAUGUUGACCUCGGAUCAGGUAGGAAUACCCGCUGAACUUAAGCAUAUCAAAAGGCGGA
This 716-nucleotide ribosomal RNA is filed under the name fungal sp. E15414A. RNAcentral's name for it is "eukaryotic LSU rRNA". The stretch from base 353 to 506 matches the Rfam family "5.8S ribosomal RNA". The record is from RNAcentral. Lineage: Eukaryota; Fungi.